Molecule: ribosomal RNA, 253 nt
Filed under: uncultured bacterium
Lineage: Bacteria
Description: partial 16S ribosomal RNA
Rfam family: Bacterial small subunit ribosomal RNA
Source: RNAcentral
UACGUAGGUGGCAAGCGUUGUCCGGAAUUACUGGGCGUAAAGCGCGCGCAGGUGGUCUUUCAAGUCAGUGGUGAAAGCCCGGAGCUCAACUCCGGAAAUGCCAUUGAAACUGUAAGACUUGAGGAUGAGAGAGGUGAGUGGAAUUCCCAGUGUAGAGGUGAAAUUCGUAGAUAUUGGGAAGAACACCAGUGGCGAAGGCGGCUCACUGGCUCAUAUCUGACGCUCAGGCGCGACAGCGUGGGGAUAAAACAGG